RNAcentral lists this transfer RNA (71 nucleotides) under Taeniochauliodes attenuatus. RNAcentral's name for it is "tRNA-Val". The record is from RNAcentral. Lineage: Eukaryota; Metazoa; Arthropoda; Insecta; Megaloptera; Corydalidae.
CAAAUUAGAACUUGUUGAGAUAAGUAUUUCAUUUACAUUGAAAAAAAGUUGUGCAAAUCAAUAUAGUUUGA